This 497-nucleotide ribosomal RNA is filed under the name uncultured bacterium. RNAcentral's name for it is "partial 16S ribosomal RNA". It matches the Rfam family "Bacterial small subunit ribosomal RNA", at positions 28 to 507 of the family's 1533-position model. The record is from RNAcentral.
GAUGAACGCUGGCGGCGUGCCUAAUACAUGCAAGUCGAGCGAACGGACGAGAAGCUUGCUUUUCUGAUGUUAGCGGCGGACGGGUGAGUAACACGUGGAUAACCUACCUAUAAGACUGGGAUAACUUCGGGAAACCGGAGCUAAUACCGGAUAAUAUUUUGAACCGCAUGGUUCAAAAGUGAAAGACGGUCUUGCUGUCACUUAUAGAUGGAUCCGCGCUGCAUUAGCUAGUUGGUAAGGUAACGGCUUACCAAGGCAACGAUGCAUAGCCGACCUGCGAGGGUGAUCGGCCACACUGGAACUGAGACACGGUCCAGACUCCUACGGGAGGCAGCAGUAGGGAAUCUUCCGCAAUGGGCGAAAGCCUGACGGGGCAACGCCGCGUGAGUGAUGAAGGUCUUCGGAUCGUAAAACUCUGUUAUUAGGGAAGAACAUAUGUGUAAGUAACUGUGCACAUCUUGACGGUACCUAAUCAGAAAGCCACGGCUAACUACGUG